CCUACGGGUGGCAGCAGUGAGGAAUAUUGGUCAAUGGGCGAGAGCCUGAACCAGCCAAGUCGCGUGAGGGAGUACUGCCCUAUGGGUUGUAAACCUCUUUUGUCGGGGAGCAAAAGCCGGACGUGUCCGGCUGUGAGAGUACCCGAAGAAAAAGCAUCGGCUAACCCCGUGCCAGCAGCCGCGGUAAUACGGAGGAUGCGAGCGUUAUCCGGAUUUAUUGGGUUUAAGGGGUGCGCAGGCGGGUUUUUAAGUCAGCGGUAAAAUCGUGGGGCUCAACCCCAUCCAGCCGUUGAAACUGGGGAUCUAGAGUGUGCGAGAGGUAUGCGGAAUGCGUGGUGUAGCGGUGAAAUGCAUAGAUAUCACGCAGAACCCCGAUUGCGAAGGCAGCAUACCGGUGCACAACUGACGCUCAGGCACGAAAGCGUGGGUAUCGAACAGGAUUAGAUACCCCAGUAGUC
Molecule: ribosomal RNA, 458 nt
Filed under: uncultured bacterium
Lineage: Bacteria
Description: partial 16S ribosomal RNA
Rfam family: Bacterial small subunit ribosomal RNA
Source: RNAcentral